RNAcentral lists this ribosomal RNA (151 nucleotides) under uncultured archaeon. RNAcentral describes it as "partial 16S ribosomal RNA". It matches the Rfam family "Archaeal small subunit ribosomal RNA", at positions 322 to 473 of the family's 1478-position model. The record is from RNAcentral.
CCUACGGGGCGCAGCAGGCGCGAAACCUUCACAAUGUGCGAAAGCACGAUGAGGGGAUCCCAAGUGCUUGCUCGUAAGAGUAAGCUGUUUCUUUGUCUAAAAAGCAUAGAGAGUAAGGGCUGGGUAAGACGGGUGCCAGCAGCCGCGGUAA